GACGAACGCUGGCGGCGUGCCUAACACAUGCAAGUCGAACGGAGAAUUAGCAAUAAUUCUUAGUGGCGAACGGGUGAGUAACGCGUAGACAACCUACCCUUUAGAUGGGGACAACACCGCGAAAGUGGUGCUAAUACCGAAUAUUGCUUGAGAAGCGCAUGCUUUUCAAACUAAAGAUGGCCUCUAUUUAUAAGCUAUCGCUAAAGAAUGGGUCUGCGUCUGAUUAGCUAGUUGGUGAGAUAAAAGCGCACCAAGGCAACGAUCAGUAGCCGGUAUGAGAGGAUGAACGGCCACACUGGGACUAAGACACGGCCCAGACUCCUACGGGAGGCAGCAGUGGGGAAUCUUCCGCAAUGGACGAAAGUCUGACGGAGCAACGCCGCGUGAGUGAUGAAGGUUUUCGGAUCGUAAAACUCUGUUGUUAAGGACGAAUGUAUAGAUUGUGAAUAAUGGUUUAUAAUGACGGUACUUAACGAGGAAGCCACGGCUAACUACGUGCCAGCCGCCGCCGUAA
RNAcentral lists this ribosomal RNA (514 nucleotides) under uncultured bacterium. RNAcentral's name for it is "partial 16S ribosomal RNA". It matches the Rfam family "Bacterial small subunit ribosomal RNA", at positions 28 to 523 of the family's 1533-position model. The record is from RNAcentral.